GACGAACGCUGGCGGCGUGCUUAACACAUGCAAGUCGAACGGAAAGGCCCUGCUUUUGUGGGGUGCUCGAGUGGCGAACGGGUGAGUAACACGUGAGUAGCCUGCCCUUGACUUUGGGAUAACUUCAGGAAACUGGGGCUAAUACCGGAUAGGAGCUCCUGCUGCAUGGUGGGGGUUGGAAAGUUUCGGCGGUUGGGGAUGGACUCGCGGCUUAUCAGCUUGUUGGUGGGGUAGUGGCUUACCAAGGCUUUGACGGGUAGCCGGCCUGAGAGGGUGACCGGCCACAAUGGGACUGAGAGACGGCGCAGACUCCUACGGGAGGCAGCAGUGGGGAAUAUUGCACAAUGGGCGGAAGCCUGAUGCAGCAACGCCGCGUGCGGGAUGACGGCCUUCGGGUUGUAAACCGCUUUCGCCUGUGACGAAGCGUGAGUGACGGUAAUGGGUAAAGAAGCACCGGCUAACUACGUG
RNAcentral lists this ribosomal RNA (468 nucleotides) under uncultured bacterium. RNAcentral describes it as "partial 16S ribosomal RNA". It matches the Rfam family "Bacterial small subunit ribosomal RNA", at positions 28 to 507 of the family's 1533-position model. The record is from RNAcentral.